CCUACGGGAGGCAGCAGUGGGGAAUAUUGCACAAUGGGGGAAACCCUGAUGCAGCAACGCCGCGUGAGUGAAGAAGUAUUUCGGUAUGUAAAGCCCUGUCAGCAGGGAAGAAAAUGACGGUACCUGACCAAGAAGCCCCGGCUAACUACGUGCCAGCAGCCGCGGUAAUACGUAGGGGGCAAGCGUUAUCCGGAUUUACUGGGGGUAAAGGGAGCGUAGACGGCAAGGCAAGUCUGGAGUGAAAGCCCGUGGCUCAACCACGGGACUGCUUUGGAAACUGUGUUGCUGGAGUGCAGGAGGGGUAAGCGGAAUGCCUAGUGUAGCGGUGAAAUGCGUAGAUAGUAGGAGGAACACCGGUGGCGAAGGCGGCUUACUGGACUGUAACUGACGUUGAGGCUCGAAGGCGUGGGGAGCAAACAGGAUUAGAUACCCGUGUAGUC
RNAcentral lists this ribosomal RNA (440 nucleotides) under uncultured bacterium. Its description in RNAcentral is "partial 16S ribosomal RNA". It matches the Rfam family "Bacterial small subunit ribosomal RNA", at positions 338 to 795 of the family's 1533-position model. The record is from RNAcentral.